Molecule: ribosomal RNA, 533 nt
Rfam family: Bacterial small subunit ribosomal RNA
GCCCCUGACUCUGGGAUAAGCCCGGGAAACUGGGUCUAAUACCGGAUACGACCGCCUCCGGCAUCGGGUGGUGGUGGAAAGUUUUUCGGUUGGGGAUGGGCUCGCGGCCUAUCAGCUUGUUGGUGGGGUAGUGGCCUACCAAGGCGACGACGGGUAGCCGGCCUGAGAGGGCGACCGGCCACACUGGGACUGAGACACGGCCCAGACUCCUACGGGAGGCAGCAGUGGGGAAUAUUGCGCAAUGGGCGGAAGCCUGACGCAGCGACGCCGCGUGGGGGAUGACGGCCUUCGGGUUGUAAACCUCUUUCAGCAGGGACGAAGUUGACGUGUACCUGCAGAAGAAGCGCCGGCUAACUACGUGCCAGCAGCCGCGGUAAUACGUAGGGCGCAAGCGUUGUCCGGAAUUAUUGGGCGUAAAGAGCUCGUAGGUGGCUUGUCGCGUCGGAUGUGAAAGCCCGCAGCUUAACUGCGGGUCUGCAUUUGAUACGGGCAGGCUAGAGGUAGGUAGGGGAGAACGGAAUUCCUGGUGUAGC